Molecule: ribosomal RNA, 3029 nt
Filed under: Salmonella enterica subsp. enterica
Lineage: Bacteria; Pseudomonadati; Pseudomonadota; Gammaproteobacteria; Enterobacterales; Enterobacteriaceae
Also listed under: 3 other names
Description: bacterial LSU rRNA
Rfam family: Bacterial large subunit ribosomal RNA
Source: RNAcentral
GGGUUGUGAGGUUAAGCGACUAAGCGUACACGGUGGAUGCCCUGGCAGUCAGAGGCGAUGAAGGGCGUGCUAAUCUGCGAUAAGCGCCGGUAAGGUGAUAUGAACCGUUAUAACCGGCGAUACCCGAAUGGGGAAACCCAGUGUGACUCGUCACACUAUCAUUAACUGAAUCCAUAGGUUAAUGAGGCGAACCGGGGGAACUGAAACAUCUAAGUACCCCGAGGAAAAGAAAUCAACCGAGAUUCCCCCAGUAGCGGCGAGCGAACGGGGAGGAGCCCAGAGCCUGAAUCAGCAUGUGUGUUAGUGGAAGCGUCUGGAAAGUCGCGCGAUACAGGGUGACAGCCCCGUACACAAAAGCGCAUGUGUUGUGAGCUCGAUGAGUAGGGCGGGACACGUGGUAUCCUGUCUGAAUAUGGGGGGACCAUCCUCCAAGGCUAAAUACUCCUGACUGACCGAUAGUGAACCAGUACCGUGAGGGAAAGGCGAAAAGAACCCCGGCGAGGGGAGUGAAAAAGAACCUGAAACCGUGUACGUACAAGCAGUGGGAGCCCCACCACCAAAGCAUUCUCUGGUGUUGAAGGCCCUGCAAAGCAGCAUCGCGGUGGCGGAGCGUCGUUUGCGACGCCCAACACAAAAAACAAGCGGUGAGUGCUUUGGGGUGGGGUGACUGCGUACCUUUUGUAUAAUGGGUCAGCGACUUAUAUUCUGUAGCAAGGUUAACCGAAUAGGGGAGCCGUAGGGAAACCGAGUCUUAACUGGGCGUUAAGUUGCAGGGUAUAGACCCGAAACCCGGUGAUCUAGCCAUGGGCAGGUUGAAGGUUGGGUAACACUAACUGGAGGACCGAACCGACUAAUGUUGAAAAAUUAGCGGAUGACCUGUGGCUGGGGGUGAAAGGCCAAUCAAACCGGGAGAUAGCUGGUUCUCCCCGAAAGCUAUUUAGGUAGCGCCUCGUGAAUUCAUCUCCGGGGGUAGAGCACUGUUUCGGCUAGGGGGCCAUCCCGGCUUACCAACCCGAUGCAAACUGCGAAUACCGGAGAAUGUUAUCACGGGAGACACACGGCGGGUGCUAACGUCCGUCGUGAAGAGGGAAACAACCCAGACCGCCAGCUAAGGUCCCAAAGUCAUGGUUAAGUGGGAAACGAUGUGGGAAGGCCCAGACAGCCAGGAUGUUGGCUUAGAAGCAGCCAUCAUUUAAAGAAAGCGUAAUAGCUCACUGGUCGAGUCGGCCUGCGCGGAAGAUGUAACGGGGCUAAACCAUGCACCGAAGCUGCGGCAGCGACGCUGAUGCGUUGUUGGGUAGGGGAGCGUUCUGUAAGCCUGCGAAGGUGGCCUGUGAGGGUUGCUGGAGGUAUCAGAAGUGCGAAUGCUGACAUAAGUAACGAUAAAGCGGGUGAAAAGCCCGCUCGCCGGAAGACCAAGGGUUCCUGUCCAACGUUAAUCGGGGCAGGGUGAGUCGACCCCUAAGGCGAGGCCGAAAGGCGUAGUCGAUGGGAAACGGGUUAAUAUUCCCGUACUUGGUGUUACUGCGAAGGGGGGACGGAGAAGGCUAUGUUGGCCGGGCGACGGUUGUCCCGGUUUAAGCGUGUAGGUGUGUGUUCCAGGUAAAUCCGGUUCACUUUAACACUGAGGCGUGAUGACGAGGCACUACGGUGCUGAAGCAACAAAUGCCCUGCUUCCAGGAAAAGCCUCUAAGCAUCAGGUAACAUCAAAUCGUACCCCAAACCGACACAGGUGGUCAGGUAGAGAAUACCAAGGCGCUUGAGAGAACUCGGGUGAAGGAACUAGGCAAAAUGGUGCCGUAACUUCGGGAGAAGGCACGCUGACACGUAGGUGAAGUGAUUUACUCAUGGAGCUGAAGUCAGUCGAAGAUACCAGCUGGCUGCAACUGUUUAUUAAAAACACAGCACUGUGCAAACACGAAAGUGGACGUAUACGGUGUGACGCCUGCCCGGUGCCGGAAGGUUAAUUGAUGGGGUCAGCGCAAGCGAAGCUCCUGAUCGAAGCCCCGGUAAACGGCGGCCGUAACUAUAACGGUCCUAAGGUAGCGAAAUUCCUUGUCGGGUAAGUUCCGACCUGCACGAAUGGCGUAAUGAUGGCCAGGCUGUCUCCACCCGAGACUCAGUGAAAUUGAACUCGCUGUGAAGAUGCAGUGUACCCGCGGCAAGACGGAAAGACCCCGUGAACCUUUACUAUAGCUUGACACUGAACAUUGAGCCUUGAUGUGUAGGAUAGGUGGGAGGCUUUGAAGUGUGGACGCCAGUCUGCAUGGAGCCGACCUUGAAAUACCACCCUUUAAUGUUUGAUGUUCUAACGUGGACCCGUUACCCGGGUUGCGGACAGUGUCUGGUGGGUAGUUUGACUGGGGCGGUCUCCUCCUAAAGAGUAACGGAGGAGCACGAAGGUUGGCUAAUCCUGGUCGGACAUCAGGAGGUUAGUGCAAUGGCAUAAGCCAGCUUGACUGCGAGCGUGACGGCGCGAGCAGGUGCGAAAGCAGGUCAUAGUGAUCCGGUGGUUCUGAAUGGAAGGGCCAUCGCUCAACGGAUAAAAGGUACUCCGGGGAUAACAGGCUGAUACCGCCCAAGAGUUCAUAUCGACGGCGGUGUUUGGCACCUCGAUGUCGGCUCAUCACAUCCUGGGGCUGAAGUAGGUCCCAAGGGUAUGGCUGUUCGCCAUUUAAAGUGGUACGCGAGCUGGGUUUAGAACGUCGUGAGACAGUUCGGUCCCUAUCUGCCGUGGGCGCUGGAGAACUGAGGGGGGCUGCUCCUAGUACGAGAGGACCGGAGUGGACGCAUCACUGGUGUUCGGGUUGUCAUGCCAAUGGCACUGCCCGGUAGCUAAAUGCGGAAGAGAUAAGUGCUGAAAGCAUCUAAGCACGAAACUUGCCCCGAGAUGAGUUCUCCCUGAGACUUAGAGUCUCCUGAAGGAACGUUGAAGACGACGACGUUGAUAGGCCGGGUGUGUAAGCGCAGCGAUGCGUUGAGCUAACCGGUACUAAUGAACCGUGAGGCUUAACCUUACAACGCCGAAG